RNAcentral lists this ribosomal RNA (253 nucleotides) under uncultured bacterium. RNAcentral describes it as "partial 16S ribosomal RNA". It matches the Rfam family "Bacterial small subunit ribosomal RNA", at positions 524 to 776 of the family's 1533-position model. The record is from RNAcentral.
UACGUAGGGGGCAAGCGUUGUCCGGAUUUAUUGGGCGUAAAGAGCGUGUAGGCGGCCAGGUAGGUCGGUUGUGAAAACUGGAGGCUCAACCUUCAGAGGUCGACCGAAACCAUCUGGCUAGAGUCCGGGAGAGGAGAGUGGAAUUCCUGGUGUAGCGGUGAAAUGCGUAGAUAUCGAGAGGAACACCUGCGGCGAAGGCGGGUAGCUGGGCCGACACUGACGCUGAGGCGCGAAAGCCAGGGGAGCGAACGGG